This 673-nucleotide ribosomal RNA is filed under the name Pantoea ananatis. RNAcentral describes it as "bacterial SSU rRNA". It matches the Rfam family "Bacterial small subunit ribosomal RNA", at positions 794 to 1461 of the family's 1533-position model. The record is from RNAcentral. Lineage: Bacteria; Pseudomonadati; Pseudomonadota; Gammaproteobacteria; Enterobacterales; Erwiniaceae.
UCCACGCCGUAAAACGAUGUCGACUUGGAGGCUGUUUCCCUUGAGGAGUGGGCUUCCGGAGCUAACGCGUUAAGUCCGACCCGCCUGGGGAGUACGGCCGCAAGGUUAAAACUCAAAUGAAUUGACGGGGGCCCGCACAAGCGGUGGAGCAUGUGGUUUAAUUCGAUGCAAACGCGAAGAACCUUACCUACUCUUGACAUCCACGGAAUUUGGCAGAGAUGCCUUAGUGCCUUCGGGAACCGUGAGACAGGUGCUGCAUGGCUGUCGUCAGCUCGUGUUGUGAAAUGUUGGGUUAAGUCCCGCAACGAGCGCAACCCUUAUCCUUUGUUGCCAGCGAUUCGGUCGGGAACUCAAAGGAGACUGCCGGUGAUAAACCGGAGGAAGGUGGGGAUGACGUCAAGUCAUCAUGGCCCUUACGAGUAGGGCUACACACGUGCUACAAUGGCGCAUACAAAGAGAAGCGACCUCGCGAGAGCAAGCGGACCUCAUAAAGUGCGUCGUAGUCCGGAUCGGAGUCUGCAACUCGACUCCGUGAAGUCGGAAUCGCUAGUAAUCGUGGAUCAGAAUGCCACGGUGAAUACGUUCCCGGGCCUUGUACACACCGCCCGUCACACCAUGGGAGUGGGUUGCAAAAGAAGUAGGUAGCUUAACCUUCGGGAGGGCGCUUACCACU